AAUGCCAAGUGGGUGUGGCAGCUGACCUAUUAUUCCAGCCUCAGAGGGAGACAUAGGAUGCCCUAAGCAAGCAAGCAAGCAAGCAAGCAGGCUAGCCACAACAGGGAGCUUUGGGUUUUAUUGAGACCUCACCUCAGUGAGUAAGGUACAAGAGUGACUGAGGCAGAAUCUCAGCUUCAACCUCAAGCAUCGAUAUGCACAUGCACACAUAACCAUGCACACCACACACAAAGAAGAAUAAGGUAAGAGCUGAGGGCUUGGACAUUUGGAAAGCAAGAAGGGAAAGUGUCACAAAAGAGGCCCUCAUGAGCAGGAAAGCUACUGAAGACCUAAGGUGAGAAGACGCCUUUAUCCAGUGGGCUGGGUACAAUAGAGUCUUGCUCAGCAGGGUCCUGGCUAUCUAAGCAUGAAAAGUCUACUGUGCUGGGCAUGUCAGCACAGCACCUGGGAUCCCAGCACUGAGGAUGUAAGUCAAGAGAAUCAGCAGUUCAAGGCUAGCCUGGAC
RNAcentral lists this long non-coding RNA (505 nucleotides) under Mus pahari (shrew mouse). RNAcentral's name for it is "lncRNA (MGP_PahariEiJ_G0002210.1)". The record is from RNAcentral. Lineage: Eukaryota; Metazoa; Chordata; Mammalia; Rodentia; Muridae.